CCCUUUGUGAACAUACCUAUAACUGUUGCUUCGGCGGGUAGGGUCUCCGCGACCCUCCCGGCCUCCCGCCUCCGGGCGGGUCGGCGCCCGCCGGAGGAUAACCAAACUCUGAUUUAACGACGUUUCUUCUGAGUGGUACAAGCAAAUAAUCAAAACUUUUAACAACGGAUCUCUUGGUUCUGGCAUCGAUGAAGAACGCAGCGAAAUGCGAUAAGUAAUGUGAAUUGCAGAAUUCAGUGAAUCAUCGAAUCUUUGAACGCACAUUGCGCCCGCCAGCAUUCUGGCGGGCAUGCCUGUUCGAGCGUCAUUUCAACCCUCAAGCUCUGCUUGGUGUUGGGGCCCUACAGCUGAUGUAGGCCCUCAAAGGUAGUGGCGGACCCUCCCGGAGCCUCCUUUGCGUAGUAACUUUACGUCUCGCACUGGGAUCCGGAGGGACUCUUGCCGUAAAACCCCCCAAUUUUCCAAAGGUUGACCUCGGAUCAGGUAGGAAUACCCGCUGAACUUAAGCAUAUC
This 513-nucleotide ribosomal RNA is filed under the name Colletotrichum fructicola. Its description in RNAcentral is "eukaryotic LSU rRNA". The stretch from base 154 to 307 matches the Rfam family "5.8S ribosomal RNA". Lineage: Eukaryota; Fungi; Ascomycota; Sordariomycetes; Glomerellales; Glomerellaceae. The record is from RNAcentral.